This 427-nucleotide ribosomal RNA is filed under the name uncultured bacterium. Its description in RNAcentral is "bacterial SSU rRNA". It matches the Rfam family "Bacterial small subunit ribosomal RNA", at positions 355 to 775 of the family's 1533-position model. The record is from RNAcentral.
UCGAGAAUUUUUCACAAUGGGCGCAAGCCUGAUGGAGCGACGCCGCGUGGGGGAUGAAGGCCUUCGGGUCGUAAACCCCUGUCAUUCGCGAACAAACCUCGUUAUUUAAAAGAUGACGAGCUGAUUGUAGCGGAAGAGGAAGAGACGGCUAACUCUGUGCCAGCAGCCGCGGUAAUACAGAGGUCUCAAGCGUUGUUCGGAUUCACUGGGCGUAAAGGGUGCGUAGGUGGUGAGGUAAGUCUGAUGUGAAAUCUCCAAGCUUAACUUGGAAAUGGCAUUGGAAACUACCCCGCUAGAGGAGUGGAGGGGGGACUGGAAUGCUUGGUGUAGCAGUGAAAUGCGUAGAUAUCAAGCGGAACACCGGUGGCGAAGGCGAGUCCCUGGACACCUCCUGACACUGAGGCACGAAAGCUAGGGGAGCAAACAG